Molecule: small nuclear RNA, 104 nt
Organism: Mastomys coucha (southern multimammate mouse)
Lineage: Eukaryota; Metazoa; Chordata; Mammalia; Rodentia; Muridae
Source: RefSeq, a predicted model, not a curated record
GUGAUCACUUCAGCAGCAUAUAUACUAAAAUUGGAACAAUACAGAGAUUUGCACGGUCCCUGUGCAUGGAUGACACACAAAUUUGUGAAGUAUUCCGUAUUUUU